AGUGAGACUGACUGCGUCGGGGUUGAGACUGGGUGGAUGAGGCUCACCCCGGCGGGGAGAAGGGACGAGGAGGGGCGGACAGCGGAAGGUCCGGGAGUGUCCGCCAUAAAGUCGUUUGAGUUUUAACUUCUAGUCAUGGCGAAUGAUCGCAGGAGAGCACAGACUGGACCCUGCUACGAUCUCUCUUGGAGUGGAUCAGACUGAUGAUCACCAACAACCAACUCAUUCCCGGAUAAGGAAGAAGAGAGUGUCACCUACUUCAGUGUGGUUUCAACCCUACUUCUGCAUCUUAAAGACACUUGUACAACGUUGGACACUGUGCAGGAUGAUGCCACUUCAUCUUGGAUGCUAAUCUGCCAUGUUGACUUCUGAUUAACCCCAGGCCCAGGAAUGCCUCAAGAUUUCUACUUUACUUACUGUUGCUUGUAAUAAAAGAAAUGACAGCCACCAUAGAGGAACUAGCCAAAGUUAAU
Molecule: long non-coding RNA, 473 nt
Filed under: Homo sapiens (human)
Lineage: Eukaryota; Metazoa; Chordata; Mammalia; Primates; Hominidae
Description: non-protein coding ZNF667-AS1:29
Source: RNAcentral